This is a non-coding RNA of Mauremys mutica (yellowpond turtle), 357 nucleotides long. The record is from the annotation of a RefSeq genome assembly. NCBI's taxonomy places the organism in Eukaryota, Metazoa, Chordata, Testudines, Geoemydidae.
AUGACACUGUCACUGCUCUGCUCCCUUUUCCUACUCGCUGCCCCGUCAGGUGUCCUCUCCCAGGUGCAGCUGGUCCAGACUGGCCCGGGAGCGAUGAAACCCGGAGAGACCCUCAGUAUCACCUGUAAGGUUUCUGGAGUCUCCGUCAGCAGCUACUAUUGGAGCUGGGUCCGGCAGCUGUCGGGGAAAGGGCUGGAGUGGAUGGGGCGCAUCCAGAGCACUGCAGCGGGAGGCAGCACAGAGUACAGCUCGGCUUUCAGUAGCCAGAUCACCAUCACCAGGGACACCUCAAAGGACGAAGUUUAUCUCCAGCUCCGCUCGCUGACAGCUGCAGACACCGGCACCUAUUACUGCGCC